AAAACUUUGUUGAAUGCAUAGUUUGGAAAUUAUUUUUUCACAUUUUGUAGAUUGUUUACUCUGUCGAUAGUUUCUUUGGCUGCGCAGAAGCAUUUUAGUUUAAUUAGAUCCAAUUUCUCAAUUUUUGCUUUUGUUGCAGUUACUUUUGGAGUAUUCAUCAUUAAGUCUUUUCCAGGUCCUAUGUCCAGAAGAGUAUUUCCUAGAUUAUCUUCCAGGGUUUUUGUAGUUUUGGGUUUUACAUUUAAAUCUUUAAUUCACUGAGUUAAUAUUUGUAUAUGGUGUAGGAAAGGGGUCUAGCUUCAGUCUUCUGCAUAUAGCUAGCCAUUAUCCCAGCACCAUUGCUUGCUUUUGUCAGUGUUGUCAAAGAGCAGGUGGUUGUAGGUAUACAUCAUUAUUUCUGGGCUCUCUAUUCUGUUCCAUUGGUUGUUGUCUGUUUUUGUAAUAGCAUCAUGCUGUUUUGUUUACUGUAACCCUGUAAUGUAGUUUGAGGUUGGGUAACCUGAUGCCUCUGGCUUUGCUCUGUUUGCUUAGGAUUGGCUUGGCUAUUUGCGUUCUUUUUUGUUUUCACAUAAAUGUUUAAAAAAAAAUUUUCUGGGAUGCCGGGCUGAUCAUGGAUGCUUGACAACCUGCGGGCAAGCGCCAGGAGGCUGAGCCAGUGACUCAGGACAGAGAGGUGGUACAGAUACAGUUCAAGGCCAGACAAUGGCAGGGGAACAGAAGCCCUCAAGUAACCUCCUGGAGCAGUUUAUUUUACUAGCCAAAGGUACCAGUGGCUCAGCCCUCACUGCUCUCAUAAGCCAGUUCUUAGAGGCCCCCUGGAGUGUAUGUCUUUGGAGAACUUCUGGAGCUGGCCAACUCCUGGAGCUGCAGGAGGUUGCAGAAGGAGCUAAUGCUGCUUAUUUGCAGUUGUUGAACCUGUUUGUCUAUGGGACAUAUCCAGAUUACAUAGCCAACAAAGAGAGCCUGCCAGAACUGAGCACAGCUCAGCAGAACAAGCUGAAGCAUCUUACCAUCGUGAGCUUGGCAUCAAGAAUGAAAUGUAUCCCCUACUCUGUGUUGCUGAAAGACCUGGAGAUGCGGAAUCUCCAGGAACUAGAAGACCUCAUCAUUGAGGCUGUCUACACUGACAUCAUCCAAGGCAAGCUGGACCAGCGAAACCAGCUGCUGGAAGUGCAUUUCUGCAUUGACCGUGACAUCUGAAAGAAGGAUAUCAAUAAUAUUGUCAAGACCCUGCAUGAAUGGUGUGACAGCUGUCAAGCAGUUCUGCUGGGCAUCGAGCAGCAAGUUCUGAGUGCCAACCAGUACAAAGAGAACCACAACCGAACUCAGCAGCAGGUAGAAGCAGAAGUAACCAACAUCAAGAAGACACUCAAUGCCACGGCAUCCUCUUCGGCUCAGGAGAUGGAGCAGCAGCUGGCUGAACGGGAGUGUCCCCCUCACGCUGAGCAGAGGCAGCCCACCAAGAAGAUGUGCAAAGUGAAAGAUCUGGUCUCCAACUGCCACUAGGGCCAGCUGGGGCAGCUGGCACUUACCAGGCCUGGGUCAGGUGGGGAGGGGACACCAAGGGCCCAUUUCCUGCCCUCUCUACCUGCAGUGAGUUCCAGACCUGCCCGUCCCCUCACCAGCGCCUCCCCACCCUCUUGGUACUGUUCCAGAAAAACUGUUAAUCCCCCUCACCCACUCCCUCCUCCCCCAGUUGUUCCUUCAGACUCAGGGGCUCCGCCAAUGCCAUCCCAACAGGGUCAGACACUGCCCAGCUUCCCUCCAGGAGGUUCUUGUCUCUGUGUAAGGGCUUGUCUCCCUCCCAGUUUUUCUUUUGCUCCAUGUCGUUUUGUCAAUGUGGUUACAAGCUGGAGGCAGCUUUAACCAGCCCCUAGUGAUGACUGUGAAGGAGGCCCCUCCCCUUGUGAGGAGGGGGCAUUCCUCUCCAGCCCCUCAUACCACAGUCCCCAUGAUGGUGCAGCGAUCUCUAGCCAGGCGUUAAGAUGCUCUGCUUUCCCUCUUCUGCCUCACCCCUUGUUGGCAGCUCCAGUUCAGGCCAUCGAGGGACGUGAUGCUGGGCUAUGUUUACUAAACCCACGGGUUUUCAGCCUCUUAAGCCCACCUUCAAUCCCCGAUUAAUUGAGAGUGCUGGGUUGACUAACCUCUGCUAUCUGAGCACAGACAGAGGGUGCUGUGGGUCUGCUGGGAGGCAGAAGUGGUUCCAGCUUGGUGUUCUCUCCUGGCCACUCUUCCUGCUCCCUCUGACUACUCAGCCUUGUAUUUGGUGUGUAGACCCCAGCUGCCCAUUGGGGCUGCCGGCUAAUGCUUGCUCUCUCCUGAGAUCUUUAAUUCCUCCUGGCUCCACCUGGGUAGGGAUGGUGGCACCAAUGUCCCUCUGUCUGCUGAAGGACCUGUUGCUGCUUCCGUGUGUCUUUCCACCCCUCCUUGGUGAUGACUGAAAGCCCUCUGAUGAUGACAUUCUCCUGGCAAGAGAAAAGGACUUGAACAGUUUCAGGUUAUAUUUUAAUUUUUUUGUACAGGUUCUGAUUCUAAUACAUUUCAACAUGCUUUUGUUCAAAAAAAAAUGUUUUUCUAGUUCUGUGAAGAAUGUCAUUGGUAGUUUGAUAAGAAUAGCAUUGAAUCUGUAAAUUGUUUUAGACAUUGCGGCCAUUUUAAUGAUACCUGUUUUUCCUAUCCAUGACAUGGAAUGUUGGUCUAUGUUUUUGUGUCUAUGUGUUGGUCUAUGUUUUGAGCCCUAUUUUGUAACUCUCAUUGUAGAGGUCUUUCACCACCCUAAUUGGCUGUGUGCCUAUUUUAUUCUUUUUGUGGUAAUUGUGAAUUGGACUACAUUUCUGAUUUGGUUCUUAGCUUAAAUGUUGUUGGUGUAUAGGAAUGCUUCUGAUUUUUGUGUGUUGAUUUUGUAUCAUGAAACUUUGCUGAAGUCUUUUCUCAGCUCAAGGAGAUUUGGGGCAGAGAAUAUGGGGUUUUCUAGAUGUAGAAUCAUGUCGUCUGCAAACUGAUAGUUGGACUCCUCUCUUUUUAUUUGGAUGCCCUUAUUUUCCUUUUUUUGCUUGAUUGUCCUGGGCAGGAUUUCCAAUACUAUGUUUAAUAGGAGUGGUGAGAGAAGGCAUCCUUGUCUUGUGCCAGUUUUCAAGGGGAAUGCUUCCAGCUUCUAUCCAUUAUUUGGUAUGAUGUUGUCUGGGGGUUUGUCCUAGAUAUGUCUUAUUAUUUUAAAGUAUAUGGUCUAGUUUAUUGGAGGUUUUUAACAUGGUAGGAAAAAUGUUAAAGCCUUUUCUGCAUCUCUUGAGAUAAUCAUGUGGUUUU
This is an RNA transcript of Cebus imitator (Panamanian white-faced capuchin), 3306 nucleotides long. It is a transcript of the gene named COP9 signalosome complex subunit 7b-like, with no coding region annotated. The record is from RefSeq and is a predicted model, not a curated record. NCBI's taxonomy places the organism in Eukaryota, Metazoa, Chordata, Mammalia, Primates, Cebidae. The transcript has a single exon.